UUGACAACGGAAGUAGAGUAAUUAAAGUGGUUGUUAGUAUUUGUUAAAGUACUAUUAACUGAGCUGGGUUUGGCCAUUUAUUUUAAACAAAAAUAGUAUAUACCUAUGAUACAAAAUAUACUUCUUCAGAUUGAGGAAUAAAUUAAGCUCUACUUACAUAUAGUUUGCAAAACUUAUGUCCCAAAGGCUAAAUCAACUUCUACCUCAGUCUCUUUUGCAAAAAACAUGUAAUGGAUCUAUUCCAACUUUCAAGUCCUACAUCAUCUGUGACAACACUCAGGAAUAUAAACUUGAUUCACAGAAUAGCAGCACAAACAAUAGUGAAGAUCAGGUAAAGAAUUUAAGAAGGCCAACAAUUAUUAAGUCAAAAACAGGUCAGCUGAAAAGAAAAAAGGCUCCUCCUAGACCUCCUCCACCAAAGACUGGCAGCACCUCUAGAUCAACAAAUAUAUCUGUUAAACCAGCCACAUCAGAGAAGAAUGAUUAUCUAUCUGAGUUAGAAGCCAUCUUUGCUCCAAAAAAAGAAAUCAAUACAAAUUUGGACAGAUCAUCUUUCUUGAAACAAAAUGAUACAGUAGUUACAUCAAAUGUGCCUAAACCAGCAUUUCGUUACUCAAAGAAAGGUCACACUCCUCAUCACUGUCCAAGAAAUAUUGAUGUUGGCAUAACCUCAAGCACCUCUUCGUCUAGUCCAGAUUAUCAUCUUGUGUCUGUCAGUGCCAGUUGUAGAUCAACUUCUUUAGUUGAUGUGUCAGCUUUAUCUUGCUUAAACUCUAAACCUAAAACAUACAAUGUGUAUAAUCAGGAAGAGAAGAAAAGUCAAGAAAACCUGUUAGACUUAAAUAAUACAUACAGUAUUAAUGAGUAUUUACUAUUAGAAGGGGCUAGUGCAAAGUUGCAAGUUCCAUUUCAGUCAGGUAAUGUACUCCCAGAAAAACAUUUAUUAACCCCAGGCUCUUCCACCUGUCUUUCUAAAGACACUAAUGGAUCUUGUACAUCACCUUAUGCAGCAAACAACAAAAAUGAUGAGUCAUAUUUAAAUCAUAGCAGUGUUGCUCAACUUGAAAAGUAUUUUCCUGUGUCUAAUAUUCCUAAGAAAGUGCCAAAUGAAUCCAAAAUUUCAAGUUCGUAUGUCAGUUCCUACCAAGGUGUAUGGCCCCCUGUUCCUAUUAGUUUUGAAGACUCCAGUAGUAUGUGUCAAUCAUCAAUAGAUACAAAAGCCAAAGAAAAAAGGUCAUCAGUUAAAACUGUAUGUUCAACUAGGACCUCAACAAAGGAAGAAAAAGCAUUCCAUCAUACAUCUUCUCUUUCUAUACCUCAAAACCUUCCACCCACUUUUCAUAAUGUUCCUGAUGGGAAUAUGCCUGGAAAUACAGGAAAUUUAGAUAGAUUGAGAAAGUGUAAAACCCUUUAUAGCUUCAAAGGUGAAAGCCCUGAUGAAUUAACAUUCAAAGAAGGGGAUGUGAUCUUAUUUGAAGAGAAAAUAAAUGAAGAAUGGUGGAUGGGUUAUCUUGGUGAUCAACAAGGUAUUUUUCCAUCAUCAUACGUAGUGAUGGAAGGUACUGAUGAUUUCAUGAGUACAGAUGUUAAUAGUACAGAAGGAUCUACAACAUGCACAGUUGUGGCACUGUAUGACUAUAAAAGAGAAGAUGAGAGAGAUUUGACCUUUAAAAAAGGUGAUAAAAUCGAGGUUAGAGCCCGUAUUAAUAAGGACUGGUUGUAUGGUGAGUUUCAAGGUCUGAAAGGACAUUUUCCAGAAUCUUUUGUAUAUAAACCUUCCCAAGAGACAGUAGAAUUGUUAACGCUGACUGGUGGCAAGGAAAAUUAGCCAAAGAUACAACGGGAAAAGAAGGAAUGUUCCCCUCAUCAUUUGUUGAAAUACUGGCUUAAUAUUUUACAUAAAGUUCAAGAAGGAACCAACAAAUAUCUGACUCUGGUGAUACACGUGUUCCAUAUUUUUAUGUAUUUUUAGAUAAAAAUAUUCAAAAUCUCUAUUAUAAUGCUGUCUUGUGUUUAUAUCACUAUGUUUCACUUACAGAACAAAUCUAUUAACUCCAUGUGACUGUGUGAGAAUAGAGGUGAUGUUUUAUUUUGUAAAAGAUAGUCUUAUUGUUAAAUGCUCAAAAAAAAUUAAAUUUUUAUUAACUAUAUAAUGUAUAAAAUACUUUAAAAAUGUCAUGUUUUGAUAAAUUAGCUCUUAAAUACUUAAUGACAUGAAUACAUUUCAAUAUUUCAUAUCUUUUGAAAUUUAGAGAAAUAUUGUAGUUGUGGAGAAAAAUUGGCAUUUGAUUUUGACUAAAAUUUAAAAAUGUAGGAAUUAAAUAUUAUAUUUUUGAUUUAAUUUAAACAGAGUAACUUAAUUUAUGAGAAUAUAACAUUUUAACACUGUUUUAGUUUCUACUAUGUAUUAUUUUUUUAAUGAUUUUAAGGCAGUUUUCCUAAAUAUUCAUGUAAAAAGUUAAAACCAAUUGAAAAAUUUCAUAUUGACAGUAAUGAUAAAAGCUUUUUUAUCAGUGGUUAAAUAUACUACUGGUAAUACAACAUAUAAUUCUGUUUUACAUGUUCAAAAUCCCUUUGCAAAUGUGACAGAAAUAUUUAUGAUUUCAAAGUAAUGCUAAUAUAGUUGUAAUAAAGUUAACACAUCUUAGGAAAGUACAUGUGUUUAUGCAUCAAGAUCAUCUGUCUUUUUGCACUUUGUCUGAAAUGGAAUUUAAUGUUAUGCCUUAUGUAUAAGUUUUAAUUAAACUUCAUGAGAUAAUCUGUUAUCAAUUAAUAGUAUGUGUAAUCCUUUAAAAUGAUUUUAUAAAAAUAUGAAAUCUAACUUUGAAGCAUGUAAAAUUUUAAAGUAAAAUUGUAAAUUUUGUCAUUGAGAUAAGCAGUAAGUUGUAGAUAUUGCCACAUUUAUUCUAGUCUUUGAAUCAUACAAUUUAGUUAAAAUCACAUACAAAGUUUGCUUUCAUUUGUGGUAGGAAUGUCUAAUUUUACUUCAAAAUGUUCUGUACAAGACAUCUUAACUAAGACUGAAAUUAUAUUUUCAACUUAAUUUUUAUCCAAAUGAUUUGUUCUGUGAUUUACUGCAGUUUCUGUUUGAAAAUACUCGUGCUGCAUCUUGUCAUUUAUGGAAAUACAUUAUAAUCAAAAUAUUAUAUUGAUUAGACUUUGAUUAUUUUUACUGAUGUUUAUUUUUGUCAUUUUUGUUUACACCC
This 3206-nucleotide unclassified non-coding RNA is filed under the name Limulus polyphemus (Atlantic horseshoe crab). RNAcentral's name for it is "intersectin-2-like, transcript variant X5". Lineage: Eukaryota; Metazoa; Arthropoda; Merostomata; Xiphosura; Limulidae. The record is from RNAcentral.